This 73-nucleotide transfer RNA is filed under the name Clostridium sp. MD294. Its description in RNAcentral is "Clostridium sp. ASF356 tRNA". It matches the Rfam family "tRNA". Rfam says of the family: Transfer RNA (tRNA) molecules are approximately 80 nucleotides in length. Their secondary structure includes four short double-helical elements and three loops (D, anti-codon, and T loops). Lineage: Bacteria; Bacillati; Bacillota; Clostridia; Eubacteriales; Clostridiaceae. The record is from Rfam by way of RNAcentral. RNAcentral also lists the same sequence under 2 other names.
GCACCUUUAGCUCAGUUGGUAGAGCAACUGACUCUUAAUCAGUGGGUCUAGGGUUCGAGCCCCUAAAGGUGCA